RNAcentral lists this ribosomal RNA (678 nucleotides) under uncultured bacterium. RNAcentral's name for it is "bacterial SSU rRNA". It matches the Rfam family "Bacterial small subunit ribosomal RNA", at positions 105 to 801 of the family's 1533-position model. The record is from RNAcentral.
GGUGAGUAACGCGUGGGUAACCUGCCUCAUACAGGGGGAUAACAGUUAGAAAUGACUGCUAAUACCGCAUAAGACCACAGAGCCGCAUGGCUCGGUGGGAAAAACUCCGGUGGUAUGAGAUGGACCCGCGUCUGAUUAGGUAGUUGGUGGGGUAACGGCCUACCAAGCCAACGAUCAGUAGCCGACCUGAGAGGGUGACCGGCCACAUUGGGACUGAGACACGGCCCAAACUCCUACGGGAGGCAGCAGUGGGGAAUAUUGCACAAUGGGGGAAACCCUGAUGCAGCGACGCCGCGUGAGCGAAGAAGUAUUUCGGUAUGUAAAGCUCUAUCAGCAGGGAAGAAAAUGACGGUACCUGACUAAGAAGCACCGGCUAAAUACGUGCCAGCAGCCGCGGUAAUACGUAUGGUGCAAGCGUUAUCCGGAUUUACUGGGUGUAAAGGGAGCGUAGACGGCUGUGUAAGUCUGAAGUGAAAGCCCGGGGCUCAACCCCGGGACUGCUUUGGAAACUAUGCAGCUAGAGUGUCGGAGAGGUAAGUGGAAUUCCCAGUGUAGCGGUGAAAUGCGUAGAUAUUGGGAGGAACACCAGUGGCGAAGGCGGCUUACUGGACGAUGACUGACGUUGAGGCUCGAAAGCGUGGGGAGCAAACAGGAUUAGAUACCCUGGUAGUCCACGCC